Molecule: ribosomal RNA, 253 nt
Filed under: uncultured bacterium
Lineage: Bacteria
Description: partial 16S ribosomal RNA
Rfam family: Bacterial small subunit ribosomal RNA
Source: RNAcentral
UACGUAGGGGGCAAGCGUUGUCCGGAAUCAUUGGGCGUAAAGAGCGUGUAGGCGGCCCGAUAAGUCCGCUGUGAAAGUCCAGGGCUCAACCCUGGAAUGCCGGUGGAUACUGUCGGGCUCGAAUCCGGAAGAGGUGAGUGGAAUUCCUGGUGUAGCGGUGAAAUGCGCAGAUAUCAGGAGGAACACCAAUGGCGAAGGCAGGUCUCUGGGCCACUACUGACGCUGAGAAGCGAAAGCAUGGGGAGCGAACAGG